Long non-coding RNA from Sebastes umbrosus (honeycomb rockfish), 88 nucleotides. RefSeq lists it as uncharacterized. The transcript has 3 exons. NCBI's taxonomy places the organism in Eukaryota, Metazoa, Chordata, Actinopteri, Perciformes, Sebastidae. The record is from RefSeq and is a predicted model, not a curated record.
UUUUUAGUGUUCGGUUGUACUUAGCUACACCCUCUCACGUCACUUCUAGUUGCAGAAAACCAAGAUAGCAACGGCCAAAAAACAAGAU